CCUCGUAUUAUCUUUCUAUGCUUGAUCUCAUAGCAAUGCUGUCUGUGUGGAUGGAAGGCACUGAAGUCCCUCCACCCAAGUUGUAAAAGCCUUUCCUAACUUUUAUGGGAAUUAAAACCAGUGCAUCUGGAAUGGGCACAUGUGGAGAUGCUCUGUCAUGCACUGUGCCAUAUCUUCUGAUGCUACCUCAAUAUGCUGUGUCCUAGGGGCAGCAGAACACAGAGGGGCACGCACAGCAACCUUGGACAGCCACAGAGAGGAGACAGAACCAGCCAGCCCCAGCCAGCCUUGAGGCAGUUACCUUGUGCACAUUACUUCACCUGGUGCCAAUGAAGUACAACUCAGCUCCUUCUGGAGACCAGGGAAGAUGGAGGUGUGGACAGGCGCCUGCUGGGUGUGUGGUCACAGAGAGCAGGAAUCUGAACAUCCACCUGCCUGACUCCAGAGCAGGUUCUGGGAUUGUGUCCUGGCAGCAGGCAGCACCCUGCCCACAUGGGCAGCCAUGGGGACAUCUGCCCCACAUCCUCAGUGACCAUCACCACCCCUUUCAGUUAUCCAUUCUGUUGCCACAGUUUGACCUUUAUGACACCUGCACUUCUGGAAUGUUCCAUCUAGGAGUCUGAAUUACUCACCCUACCCAGUCACCUUCCAAAGUAUGAACUCUGGACACCAGCUCCUGGGAGGCAAUGAUGUCGACUCCUGAGCUUUGAAGGAUGAGUAUCUGAAGGAUCAGGUCCCUGUCUAGCAGCAGGAAGCUGAGCAGACAGGAAGUGUUUCUGUCCAUCAGCAAGAAGACUAUCAGGAGCUGCACUUUGGAAGGUGGAGAUGCCAGUGCUUGGAUCUGCAGGCUUACCACCUGCCCUCCCAGCUCUGCUGUUCUGGUCAAGGGUACCCAGGGAGAGGUCCUGCUCUGAAGCUGUGUAGGGACCUGGCUAUCUCUUCUCUGUCUCUGUCACCCCUCACCUUCCUGGACUCUGCUGGCUGAGGAGGAAAGAACCUUGGAUCUGCAGCCUCUGGUCAUGUUCACUUUGCUCUUCCAGCCUGUGGCAGGAAAGACUGGAGAUACCACCUGCUUCUCUCUUGUAAAAUUGGAGGGAGGUUUAGAUCCAUAUUGAAGGGCCCUCCAGAUUCA
Molecule: long non-coding RNA, 1132 nt
Organism: Heterocephalus glaber (naked mole-rat)
Lineage: Eukaryota; Metazoa; Chordata; Mammalia; Rodentia; Bathyergidae
Source: RefSeq, a predicted model, not a curated record